This 404-nucleotide ribosomal RNA is filed under the name Actinomycetes bacterium. RNAcentral describes it as "Actinobacteria bacterium partial 16S ribosomal RNA". It matches the Rfam family "Bacterial small subunit ribosomal RNA", at positions 355 to 776 of the family's 1533-position model. The record is from RNAcentral. Lineage: Bacteria; Bacillati; Actinomycetota; Actinomycetes.
UGGGGAAUAUUGGACAAUGGGCGCAAGCCUGAUCCAGCCAUGCCGCGUGAGUGAUGAAGGCCCUAGGGUUGUAAAGCUCUUUCACCGGUGAAGAUAAUGACGGUAACCGGAGAAGAAGCCCCGGCUAACUUCGUGCCAGCAGCCGCGGUAAUACGAAGGGGGCUAGCGUUGUUCGGAUUUACUGGGCGUAAAGCGCACGUAGGCGGACUUUUAAGUCAGGGGUGAAAUCCCGGGGCUCAACCCCGGAACUGCCUUUGAUACUGGAAGUCUUGAGUAUGGUAGAGGUGAGUGGAAUUCCGAGUGUAGAGGUGAAGUGCGUAGAUAUUCGGAGGAACACCAGUGGCGGAGGCGGCUCACUGGACCAUUACUGACGCUGAGGUGCGAAAGCGUGGGGAGCAAACAGG